AAGUCCUCCCAGGCCCACCAGUUUAUCCAUUACUUUCAUAAGUGCUUUUAAAAAAUAAGUACUUCUAAAAAGAUUGCUUCUAAAAAGCUUAUCAAAAUUGGCAGGCUUAUUGCUUUUGUGUGAGUAAUCCAAAGUUAAAGCAAAUUAAUGGCAAAAAAACAGUUCAAAUGCUAAAUACUAAGGAGUCAAAAUUCCUUGCAAAGUGAUUUUUACAGCGUCCAUUUGGUUGAUAUAAAUUCCAAAUGCUCAUAGACGUCAAUGCCUAUAUGAAACUAUCGGUUCAAUCAUAUCGCUUUGAGUUAUAUAGAUUUUGUAAUCCCUCUUUUGAUCGUUUUAAACGCUUUAUCCUGAUUUAGGGGCCGUAGCUCAGCUGGGAGAGCACCUGCUUUGCAAGCAGGGGGUCGUCGGUUCGAUCCCGUCCGGCUCCACCAUAAGGUCAUCAUCAUUGUUGUAAGAACAGUUU
Molecule: transfer RNA, 463 nt
Filed under: Bartonella henselae
Lineage: Bacteria; Pseudomonadati; Pseudomonadota; Alphaproteobacteria; Hyphomicrobiales; Bartonellaceae
Description: partial 16S-23S ribosomal RNA intergenic spacer
Rfam family: tRNA (bases 356-428)
Source: RNAcentral